CCUACGGGAGGCAGCAGUGAGGAAUAUUGGUCAAUGGGCGCGAGCCUGAACCAGCCAAGUAGCGUGAAGGAUGACUGCCCUACGGGUUGUAAACUUCUUUUAUAAAGGAAUAAAGUGAGCCACGUGUGCCUUUUUGUAUGUAUUUUAUGAAUAACGAUCGGCUAACUCCGUGCCAGCAGCCGCGGUAAUACGGAGGUUCCGAGCGUUUUCCGGAUUUAUUGGGUUUAAAGGGAGCGUAGAUGGGUUGUUAAGUCAGUUGGGAAAGUUUGCGGUGCAACCGUAGAAUUGCAAUUGAUACUGGCAGCCUUGAGUGCAGUUGAGGUAGGCGGAAUUCGUGGUGUAGCGGUGAAAUGCUUAGAUAUCACGAAGAACACCGAUUGCGAAGGCAGCCUACUAAACGGCCACUGACGUUGAUGCUCGAAAGUGUGGGUAGCAAACAGGAUUAGAUACCCUGGUAGUC
RNAcentral lists this ribosomal RNA (460 nucleotides) under uncultured bacterium. Its description in RNAcentral is "partial 16S ribosomal RNA". It matches the Rfam family "Bacterial small subunit ribosomal RNA", at positions 338 to 795 of the family's 1533-position model. The record is from RNAcentral.